RNAcentral lists this ribosomal RNA (253 nucleotides) under uncultured bacterium. RNAcentral describes it as "partial 16S ribosomal RNA". It matches the Rfam family "Bacterial small subunit ribosomal RNA", at positions 524 to 776 of the family's 1533-position model. The record is from RNAcentral.
UACAGAGGUCUCAAGCGUUGUUCGGAUUCAUUGGGCGUAAAGGGUGCGUAGGCGGCGCGGUAAGUCGGGUGUGAAAUCGCCCGGCUCAACUGGGCGGGGUCGGCGGAUACGGCCGAGCUGGAGCAAGCUAGGGGGUAAUGGAAUUCCCGGUGUAGUGGUGGAAUGCGUAGAUAUCGGGAGGAACACCAGUGGCGAAGGCGGUUACCUGGAGCUUUGCUGACGCUGAUGCGCGAAAGCGUGGGGAGCGAGCCGG